This 456-nucleotide ribosomal RNA is filed under the name uncultured bacterium. Its description in RNAcentral is "SSU rRNA". It matches the Rfam family "Bacterial small subunit ribosomal RNA", at positions 26 to 518 of the family's 1533-position model. The record is from RNAcentral.
AGAAUCAGCGCUGGCGGCGUGCCUAACACAUGCAAGUCGCACGAGAAAGGGGAGCAAUCCCUGAGUACAGUGGCGCACGGGUGAGUAACACGUGAAUAAUCUACCUCCGAGUGGGGAAUAACUGAGAGAAAUCUUAGCUAAUACCGCAUAAUACCCACGGGUCAAAGCAGCAAUGCGCUUGGAGAGGAGUUCGCGGCAGAUUAGUUAGUUGGCGGGGUAAUGGCCCACCAAGACGAUGAUCUGUAUCCGGCCUGAGAGGGCGCACGGACACACUGGAACUGAAACACGGUCCAGACUCCUACGGGAGGCAGCAGUGGGGAAUUUGCGCAAUGGGGAAACCUGACGCAGCAACGCCGCGUGGAGGAUGAAGCCCCUUGGGGUGUAAACUCCUUUCGAUCGGGAAGAUAAUGACGGUACCGAUAUAAGAGCCCCGGCUAACUUCGCGCCAGCAGCCGC